RNAcentral lists this long non-coding RNA (2703 nucleotides) under Theobroma cacao (cacao). RNAcentral describes it as "long non-coding RNA (TCAC_LNC004701)". Lineage: Eukaryota; Viridiplantae; Streptophyta; Magnoliopsida; Malvales; Malvaceae. The record is from RNAcentral.
UCAAUUUUUUCUCAAUUAAAAAAACUACCCAUUCUUUUCUCUCAAUUUUUUCUUUUGUUUUUUUUUUUUCUAUUUUUUCCUCCCAAAUCUCCCUCUCAACCCCGACUUACCUUUCUCUGAUAUAGAUACGGAUCUCCAUCCCUUCUUUCUACCCUUUUCUUUACCGAUUCCCUUUUUAUCAAAUUUGAUUUUUUCACCCAUUUUUUGUUUCUUAUUCUUCUUUUUAUUUCCACUUUAUCCUUACUCUCUUUUAGUCUCCACACCUCAACUAUAAAACCCUUCUGACCCAACCCAUCACAUGUCAGCCCCCAACCUAAUCCUCAACCCCCUCCUCAAGACUCCACCUGUCAAAACAUACAGAUGUGGUCAGUCUCUAAGUUAAGAUGUGGUAAAAUGAAGAAGCCCUUUGGAGUUUUUUUUAAAUAUAUGAUAGAUGGUAUUACAAGAUAAUUUAAAAUAUACAUGACGAAAUCUUACUAUCUAUAGAUAUUAGUUAGAUAACUCAUCAAAAGAACCUGACAUAUAUGUGAUGAUUGGACAUUAACCUCGGACUCACAGCUAAAUUUGCUGACUGUAUACCAACACGAUGAAACGUUUGUUUAUAGUUUAUCCUUCUGACUCCACGGAUCUCGGCUUAGGAACUGGUAUGUUAAUGGAUAUGGAAUGUCAAUAGUUUGGAGUUGAACACUUCAAAGGGGAGAUAAGAAUGUCACAGACAAAUAAAACCAAAACGCGUGCAUCAGGCCCACAACUUUUAUGAAUCCCCCUGGUCUUUCCGCGGAGUCUGUGGGCAGCUAAAGACUAGAGUAUUCAUUUACAAGAGUUAGUGGAGAAUAUCACAAUCAAAUGACUAAAUCAUUUUUGUCACCACUUCAAUAAAUUGGCCGCUGUCUCCAUUUCUACAGGAAAAAACAUGUUCUUGAGGAUAAGAACGAGUAAAAAGGCAGACUUCCCGACAGAAAACAAAGGAAAAGAUAAGGCCCCACCACAUAUAUAAAGGCUUUCUCGAGAUAUUUGCAAGGAUACAUAGUACUGUGUCUUGGUUCAAGCAAGCGAAAGAUCAUCAGCAAAAUGGGCUCUCUAAUGUCAGGAUGGGACUCUCCUGUAUCAGAUCCUAAAUCAGGUGACUUCAGUGAAACUUUUAUCUGGUUUAUUUUAUCUGGCAAAGUGUUUCCAUGGUGUUUUGCUUUCUGCUUAACCCUGUUGUUUAAUUUCUGGUUGUGUGAAAAUAUUUCAGUAAUACGCAAAAGAAAUCGAUCACUUACCAAGGAAGAGAUUGAUGCUUACUGGAGAUCAAAGAAGAAAACGGAGGAAGAGCAUCUUAAGGCUAUAUCUAGUCCAUCGGAUAGCUGCAGCCAGCUGGUACAGUUUUGUAUAAAAGAUUUUACUACUAAUUGAAGCCUAGCCCCAUUUUUUACUCAUGUUUUUGAAAACCAGACAUGGAAAAUAUGGUACUGAACUAGUACCUUAUGAUGACAUCUAUGACAGGAAAUUCCAUUUGAGAAGUAUGGAAGACAGUAUAUGAGAUCAAGCUCCAUGCCUUUGCCCAAUACAAAACAGAGUUUCCUGGAUACGGACACAGAAACAAGCCUGGAGAAUAUCAUAAAGAAAAACGGCUGGUGAGUAGCUAAAUCUAAAUCUUAGUUGACUCGUUACUACCAGAAAGCUUUAAGUUAAGAAUUUUAGAUUAAUAUACUAACAUUCUAUAAUUUUACUGUGGACGAUUUCAGGUGGACAAGGAGCAACUGGGCAUUCCUGAAUGAACCUCCUGUUCUUGAACGCCCUACCAACAGUUACACAUCACAGUACCACAUUGCCAACCUUGCAGCUUCGAAGCUUAACACAAAUGCUGGAAUCAGUACUUAAUCUUUAGCUCCUAAUCCUAUCUUGUGUGGGCGUAUUUGUAUACCUAAUCUGUAUACUAAGAACCUUACUCUAUUAUGUGCUGGUGUGUGUGUGUGUGUUGAGUGUGUUCUAGUCUGGAGUCUGUACAAAGUAGUACUAAAUGUAGCUGUAUAUUUUCAGGGGGAUGAAUCUGUCCCUAGUCUUUUGGCCACUUGAUAUUUCCUAAGCUUUCUGUACUGUAUAGAGAUUUGUAGGACAAGGUAUUCUUCUAGUGAUGACUCGUUUCUAAAACAAGAAGAAUUAUGCGAAAUCUUGUCUGAUUUCAUUGUUUUUCACUGCAAUGUGUGGUAGUUCGUGCAUCAAUGUAUAAGUUACAAUCAAAGGAAAUAGAACAACUUACAUCUGGCAAGAAUCAGCUGUAGAUUUUCUUCUGGGAAUGAUCACUGAGAUUGGAUCUUGUUACCUGGUGGCAAUAUUUUGUGCUGGGGCUUUGUUUCUGACUGACUGAUUCAUCUAUCUCUUAAAAUUCUCUUUGUCCCAGAGUGUGGUUCCAACUUCCAUUUGUGUUGGUGUCAAUUGCUCAACAACUUGGAAACAUAAAUCAAAAAGACACUAACCAGAUUGCAUGACUCUGCUCUGCAAGGUCCAUCCUAAGCCCUUGGCUUUCUGUUUAUGUCUAACAACAAUCAACGAAUCCAUAAUUUGGUUUGUCACUUGUUAAUUCCAACAAGAACUGGAAACAAUUGUACAACAAGAACAACUAGAAAACAAAGAGAAAAAGGCUGAAAUUGUGUUGAAAUCAAACCUGUGAGGUUCUCAAUUUUUUUUUCUACUUGAAGAAACACGUCAUGUCUAUGC